Molecule: long non-coding RNA, 319 nt
Organism: Gallus gallus (chicken)
Lineage: Eukaryota; Metazoa; Chordata; Aves; Galliformes; Phasianidae
Source: Ensembl
GGUGGGAGCACCGGAAGUGGAGGGUGGAGCGGAAGAGGGGGGUGGGAGCACCGGAAGUGGAGGGCGGAGGAGAAAGGGAAGGUCCUGGAAGGGGGAUAAUAAAGGUUGGGGGGUGGGAAAAGGUCCUGGAAGGGGGAUAAUAGGGGGAAAAAAGGUCCUGGAAGGGGAAUAAUAAAGGUUGGGGGGGGAGAAAAAGGUCCUGGAAGGGGAAUAAUAGGGGAAAAAAGGUCCUGGAAGGGGGAUAAUAGGGGAAAAAAGGUCCUGGAAGGGGAAUAAUAGGGGAAAAAAGGUCCUGGAAGGGGGAUAAUAAAGGUUGGGA